AGAGCACUCCGUACGGGAGGCAGCAGGUGGGGAAUAUUGCAACAAUGGGGCGCGAAGCCUGAUGCAGCCAUGCCGCGUGUAUAGAAGAAGGCCGUUCGGGUUGUAAAGUACUUUCAGCAGUGAGGAAGGUGGGUAUUGUUAAUAGCAUACUCAUUUGACGUUAGCUGCAGAAGAAGCACCGGCUAACUCCGUGCCAGCAGCCGCGGUAAUACGGAGGGUGCGAGCGUUAAUCGGAAUUACUGGGCGUAAAGCGCAUGCAGGUGGUUUGUUAAGUCAGAUGUGAAAGCCCGGGGCUCAACCUCGGAAUUGCAUUUGAAACUGGCAAACUAGAGUACUGUAGAGGGGGUAGAAUUUCAGGUGUAGCGGUGAAAUGCGUAGAGAUCUGAAGGAAUACCGGUGGCGAAGGCGGCCCCCUGGACAGAUACUGACACUCAGAUGCGAAAGCGUGGGGAGCAAACAGGAUUAGAUACCCUGGUAG
This 478-nucleotide ribosomal RNA is filed under the name uncultured bacterium. Its description in RNAcentral is "bacterial SSU rRNA". It matches the Rfam family "Bacterial small subunit ribosomal RNA", at positions 330 to 793 of the family's 1533-position model. The record is from RNAcentral.